GUGCCAGCCGCCGCGGUAACACGGGGGGAGCAAGCGUUGUUCGGAAUCACUGGGCGUAAAGGGCGUGUAGGCGGUUGAGCAAGUGGAAUGUGAAAUGCCCCGGCUUACCUGGGGACCGGCAUCCCAAACUGCUUGACUUGAGUACGGGAGAGGAUGGAGGAAUUCCUGGUGUAGCGGUGAAAUGCGUAGAUAUCAGGAGGAACACCGGUGGCGAAGGCGUCCAUCUGGCCCGAUACUGACGCUGAGGCGCGAAAGCUAGGGUAGCAAACGGGAUUAGAUACCCCGGUAGUCCUAGCCGUAAACGGUGAGCACUAGGUGUUGGAGGCAUCGACCCCUCCAGUGCCGCAGCUAACGCAUUAAGUGCUCCGCCUGGGGAGUACGGCCGCAAGGUUGAA
This 395-nucleotide ribosomal RNA is filed under the name uncultured bacterium. RNAcentral's name for it is "bacterial SSU rRNA". It matches the Rfam family "Bacterial small subunit ribosomal RNA", at positions 505 to 898 of the family's 1533-position model. The record is from RNAcentral.